UCCGCCGCCGCAGCGGCCGACGUCCAGCAGCCUGAGGAGCACCGUGGAGUCCUUCAACAGGCGCCGGCUGUGGGCGCCGCCGCUCUCUCUCCGGUCCUCCUCCCGCCUCCGACAUCCGGCCAACCCGCCGCCGCCCCACCAUCGGAGUACUACCGGGGCCAAAGCCGCCCUGGCCGAGCUUGUGGGAAGGGAAGAAGGAGGCGUAGUGCACUAGAGCUCGACCGGUUGCCACUGUGUUUCCCAGUAUUACCCUUUAACAAUGAACGGCUAGGAUGAUCAGUUGAUUUCCGAAGCACCAUAACAAACCCUCUUUUUCCGACCCCUGCCUUUCUGCGCCGAUUCCCUUUGUAUGCUUCCGCCUCUUCCUUCUCAUCUCUAUUCUCUCGCCCACCUAUUUCACCAGAUCGGUCCAAGAGCCCAGUUAAGCUCCAGCCUCGCCCGCCUUGAUCGAGGACUAGCAAGAAAGAAGACGAAGACAUCGACAGCUUUCAUCUUUAUUGGGAAGGGAAGUUUCUCCGAUCAAUCCAAGAAGGAUCUGGGCAUGGAUUCGUUCGUCGAUGUUCCUCUUCCCAUGGAUAAGCUUUCGUUGGGGGCUUUAGGUGAAGCCGGCGGCUCCGAAGCCGUAAACAAGAAUCAGAGUUUUGUCGUUCUGGUAUCAACAGGAAGCUUCAAUCCUCCAACUUAUAUGCACUUACGCAUGUUUGAGCUAGCAAAAGAUGCAUUGAAGGCGCAAGGCUAUUCUGUUAUAGGAGGCUACAUGUCGCCUGCGAAUGAUGCAUACAGGAAAAAGGACCUUUUGUCCGCCACCCAUCGAGUCCAGUUGUGUGAGCUAGCUUGCAAAAGCUCUUCCUUCGUGAUGGUAGAUCCAUGGGAGGCAAAGCAAUACGGCUACCAGCGUACACUAACUGUUUUGUCUAGAAUUAAGAGCUCCUUGUGCAAGACUGGAUUGGCUAGUGAAGAAUCACUCAAAAUAAUGCUUUUAUGCGGUUCUGAUCUGCUUGAAUCUUUCAGCAUUCCUGGAUUCUGGAUGCUUGAUCAGAGGAAGAACGGACAACCAUUGGACUUGUUUAAAAGACAAGAUAGCAAAAGUUAUGUGCCACAAGGAUGGUGUAACUACCAUGGCUGGGAGUUCUAAAUUCGAGAAUGGAAAUUCCUGAAUUAUUAGGUGUCCCCACUAAUGACUAGUGCGCAUGGGUGUUGAAUAGCCUGAUAUUCCAGAGCAUCUGACAGAUAAACCUCCCACUUGGACAUUUCCACAUGGUCAGGACAAUAUGUAGAGAUUUUGGUGUCGUCUGCAUACGCAGAGAAGGAAGGGACAUUGAGAAAAUAAUAUCCAGCAAUGAAAUAUUAAACGAAAAUAUGAGUAAUAUCAUCUCAGUGGAUGAGAUAGUACCAAACCAGAUCAGUGCAACAAGAGUGAGGUAAUGAUUUUGGUAUAUUCCCUCCCAAGUGGCGUGGCCCUUUUGAGUUGAGGGGUCAAUAUGUUCAUUCCAUUUCGCCCCUAGUGUACAUUUCACGUGACCUGAUGACCCACGCUGCCCCCUUUAAUGCUGGAGCCCAUAUGUAAGAGCUCAUAUGAGAGUCAGUUGUUUUUAGUCUUUGCCUAUGUUGUCUUGAUAACCAGUUAACCACCAGAAUACCAAAACACUUCAGGUUUUGAUCAGCAAAUGUUCUUGAAGAUUUUAUAAAUCUUUGCCUUUCAACUCUUUUAGUUGCAAAUGAAGGAGAAAUGAAGGAUUGUUAGAUGAGGUAUAGGGGGAAUGUGAAAAGUGUUGGUGAGCUAUCUAAAAAAUUCAAAUAAUCAAGUUAUCACCAUGAUAUCACUGUAAUAUGGUAAACAUAUCCUUUUCAUUCAAUUAUCAUGACAAGAUAUCAUGAUGAUAGUGCGGCAGCAUUCCCAAUAAAUAUGAUGCAAAUUUUAUUUGGAAAAUCUUUUCCAUGAAACCCCAGAAGAUGUCAAAUGCAUUUAAGAUGAGGUAAGAAAUCUCGGAUGAUGUUAAUCACAUCACGUGCUUAUGUAAGCUGAGCCAAUCAGACCACACUGUUGGCCUGAUGACUAUCUUGAACAAGAGAAAGCAUGAAAACGAACAGCUUUUGUUCAUAGUCUUGACAUUUACCUGACACAUUCAGAGGUUGGUGUGGAGUGAUUGUAAGCUAUAAGUUCCUGGCUACUUGACAGCCUUGCUUUGUCCUGUUUUCUCUAAUCCAUAACUUAAGACUAAGCCUUUUGUCAUGCUUUAUAUUUCAGGGAGUGCAUAAGGAGGGGGUUGUCAAUUAAAUAUCUGACUCCCGAUGAAGUCAUUGACUACAUCAAGGAUCAGAAACUCUACCUGAAAUCAAACGAUGAUUGAUGCUGUUAGAUCGACAUGAUUCGAAUGAUGACCGGCUUCUCAAAAUAAUAUUAUUUAUGGAGUUCAUUGUGCAUUUUAUGUGUGUAGUUGCUGUCAGAUGAAGCAUGAUCCAAGCAACCUCAAAAGCCAUUGCACUUUGCAAUCUUUCAUCCCAUCCCUGAAGACAGCAAUUUCAUUCUAUAGCAUGGGCACUAAAAGGCAGGAGGGUCAAUUAAGUGGGUUAUCUAUAGUGUCAAGAUGUGGUGAUUAAAUGGUAAAAUUUAAUUUAAAUACUGCAACAUUAAGUGGGGUUUAUCCCCUUCCUUUCAGUCAAAAAAAAAGGUUAAAUUUUAUUAAAAAGGCAAACUGUGGAAAAAAGUAGUGUUUCCAGCAUCUGGAUACAUUCUGUCGUUCCGUUCUACCGGUGGUAUAGAAUUUAGUGAGUAUUUUCA
Molecule: non-coding RNA, 2782 nt
Organism: Phoenix dactylifera (date palm)
Lineage: Eukaryota; Viridiplantae; Streptophyta; Magnoliopsida; Arecales; Arecaceae
Source: RefSeq, a predicted model, not a curated record